Molecule: ribosomal RNA, 763 nt
Filed under: uncultured Streptococcus sp.
Lineage: Bacteria; Bacillati; Bacillota; Bacilli; Lactobacillales; Streptococcaceae
Description: bacterial SSU rRNA
Rfam family: Bacterial small subunit ribosomal RNA
Source: RNAcentral
GACGAACGCGGGCGGCGUGCUAAUACAUGCAAGUAGAACGCUGAAGGAGGAGCUUGCUUCUCUGGAUGAGUUGCGAACGGGUGAGUAACGCGUAGGUAACCUGCCUGGUAGCGGGGGAUAACUAUUGGAAACGAUAGCUAAUACCGCAUAAGAGUAGAUGUUGCAUGACAUUUGCUUAAAAGGUGCAAUUGCAUCACUACCAGAUGGACCUGCGUUGUAUUAGCUAGUUGGUGGGGUAACGGCUCACCAAGGCGACGAUACAUAGCCGACCUGAGAGGGUGAUCGGCCACACUGGGACUGAGACACGGCCCAGACUCCUACGGGAGGCAGCAGUAGGGAAUCUUCGGCAAUGGACGGAAGUCUGACCGAGCAACGCCGCGUGAGUGAAGAAGGUUUUCGGAUCGUAAAGCUCUGUUGUAAGAGAAGAACGAGUGUGAGAGUGGAAAGUUCACACUGUGACGGUAUCUUACCAGAAAGGGACGGCUAACUACGUGCCAGCAGCCGCGGUAAUACGUAGGUGGCAAGCGUUAUCCGGAUUUAUUGGGCGUAAAGAGAGUGCAGGCGGUUUUCUAAGUCUGAUGUGAAAGCCUUCGGCUUAACCGGAGAAGUGCAUCGGAAACUGGAUAACUUGAGCGCAGAAGAGGGUAGUGGAACUCCAUGUGUAGCGGUGGAAUGCGUAGAUAUAUGGAAGAACACCAGUGGCGAAGGCGGCUACCUGGUCUGCAACUGACGCUGAGACUCGAAAGCAUGGGUAGCGAACAGG